CAGCAGCCGCGGUAAUACAGAGGGUGCGAGCGUUAAUCGGAUUUACUGGGCGUAAAGCGUGCGCAGGCGGUUAUAUAAGACAGAUGUGAAAUCCCCGGGCUCAACCUGGGAACUGCAUUUGUGACUGUAUAGCUAGAGUACGGCAGAGGGGGAUGGAAUUCCGCGUGUAGCAGUGAAAUGCGUAGAUAUGCGGAGGAACACCGAUGGCGAAGGCAAUCCCCUGGGCCUGUACUGACGCUCAUGCACGAAAGCGUGGGGAGCAAACAGGAUUAGAUACCCCUGUAGUCCCUGUCUCUUAUAA
This 301-nucleotide ribosomal RNA is filed under the name uncultured bacterium. RNAcentral's name for it is "partial 16S ribosomal RNA". It matches the Rfam family "Bacterial small subunit ribosomal RNA", at positions 509 to 809 of the family's 1533-position model. The record is from RNAcentral.